UCAAAAAAGUAUUUUUAGAUGUUUGUUUUGCUUCUUUGAAGUAGUUUCUCUUUGCAAAAUUCCUCUUUUUUUAGAGUGAUUUGGAUGAUUCAAGACUUCUCGGUACUGCAAAGUUCUUCCGCCUGAUUAAUUAUCCAUUUUACCUUUGUCGUAGAUAUUAGGUAAUCUGUAAGUCAACUCAUAUACAACUCAUAAUUUAAAAUAAAAUUAUGAUCGACACACGUUUACACAUAAAAUCUGUAAAUCAACUCAUAUACCCGUUAUUCCCACAAUCAUAUGCUUUCUAAAAGCAAAAGUAUAUGUCAACAAUUGGUUAUAAAUUAUUAGAAGUUU
RNAcentral lists this small RNA (333 nucleotides) under Arabidopsis thaliana (thale cress). RNAcentral's name for it is "ATSL000010". Lineage: Eukaryota; Viridiplantae; Streptophyta; Magnoliopsida; Brassicales; Brassicaceae. The record is from RNAcentral.